This 253-nucleotide ribosomal RNA is filed under the name uncultured bacterium. RNAcentral's name for it is "partial 16S ribosomal RNA". It matches the Rfam family "Bacterial small subunit ribosomal RNA", at positions 524 to 776 of the family's 1533-position model. The record is from RNAcentral.
UACGUAGGGUGCGAGCGUUAAUCGGAAUUACUGGGCGUAAAGCGCGUGUAGGCGGCUCGGAAAGUCGGGUGUGAAAGCCCUGGGCUCAACCUAGGAAGUGCACUCGAAACUUCCGAGCUGGAGUUCUGGAGAGGAAGGCGGAAUUCUCGGUGUAGAGGUGAAAUUCGUAGAUAUCGAGAGGAACACCGGUGGCGAAGGCGGCCUUCUGGACAGCAACUGACGCUGAGAUGCGAAAGUGUGGGGAGCAAACGGG